GAUGGACGCUGGCGGCGUGCCUAAUACAUGCAAGUCGAGCGAACAGACGAGGAGCUUGCUCCUCUGACGUUAGCGGCGGACGGGUGAGUAACACGUGGAUAACCUACCUAUAAGACUGGGAUAACUUCGGGAAACCGGAGCUAAUACCGGAUAAUAUAUUGAACCGCAUGGUUCAAUAGUGAAAGACGGUUUUGCUGUCACUUAUAGAUGGAUCCGCGCCGCAUUAGCUAGUUGGUAAGGUAACGGCUUACCAAAGCAACGAUGCGUAGCCGACCUGAGAGGGUGAUCGGCCACACUGGAACUGAGACACGGUCCAGACUCCUACGGGAGGCAGCAGUAGGGAAUCUUCCGCAAUGGGCGAAAGCCUGACGGAGCAACGCCGCGUGAGUGAUGAAGGUCUUCGGAUCGUAAAACUCUGUUAUUAGGGAAGAACAAAUGUGUAAGUAACUAUGCACGUCUUGACGGUACCUAAUCAGAAAGCCACGGCUAACUACGUG
Molecule: ribosomal RNA, 497 nt
Filed under: uncultured bacterium
Lineage: Bacteria
Description: partial 16S ribosomal RNA
Rfam family: Bacterial small subunit ribosomal RNA
Source: RNAcentral